This is a ribosomal RNA of Lepisosteus oculatus (spotted gar), 119 nucleotides long. Lineage: Eukaryota; Metazoa; Chordata; Actinopteri; Semionotiformes; Lepisosteidae. The record is from Ensembl.
UAAAAUGUCCAUAUCACCCUGCAGCUCACAACUGGUAGCCCACUGAAGCUAAGCAGGUGUGAGCCUGGUCAGUACCUGGAUGGGAGACCUCCUGGGAAAAACUAAGGUUGCUGCUCGAA